Molecule: long non-coding RNA, 626 nt
Organism: Pyrus x bretschneideri (Chinese white pear)
Lineage: Eukaryota; Viridiplantae; Streptophyta; Magnoliopsida; Rosales; Rosaceae
Exons: 2
Source: RefSeq, a predicted model, not a curated record
UCACGAUUUGAGCUCGAGUCGAGUCUUCGAUAGCAGCCAUCCAUCAAAGUAGCAACAACAAUAGACAAAUUCGGUGCGGCAUGAGACGAGGCCAGGCAUUUCGACCUCAGCAAGCUCGAUCUCGAGGCGGCCUAAGUCGGCCUAGGACAUGUCCUUGACCUUGGACUCGCAGCCGCUGCUACUUUUCUCGACAGAAAGAGGGAAAAGUGAAGAACAUGAGACUGGGCUCGAGAUGAGUCCUUGACAUCUUAGACUCCACAACCCUCAACUCCAUCUUCGUCUCCCUCAAAUGUCAGUGGUGGUAACCCAACAACCACCAACACCAUCAUCUUUCCGAAUUGAGACCACCAUCGUCAUCUCAUCUCCUUACAAAUUAAGACUUGUUGUAUAGCACUGAAUGGGAAUUUAUUUAUUGUCCAAAUCUACAAAUGUACAACACCUUGCUACGAUCUUUAAGUGUUCAGCAACCUGUGCAAUGUGCAAUCUCUGCUUUGAAUCUACAAGCUUGAAAGUAAAUUGAGUAUUUUAUUGAUAGUGGAAACUAUUUGUGAGACUAUAAUUCAAAGACUCGGUUUACAAGGCUCAAAGUUUUGAAUUUCUAAAAUGCUAUAUGGUUUCUCUUCCCA